GUUUAACAGGAUUCACCUUGACCAUCAAAUGGAUUUAGGCUGUUGUGUAGGAACUUCCAGCUUAAUCUUCUGAUUUAAAUGAUCCUCACUACCACACAGAAGUUGUCUGUUGUACCAAUAGUUUUUCUUGUUAUCCCUGUGGAGUCCUGAUAGAGGAACACGCCUGCAUUCUUGAAAUUAAUUCAUUUCUUUUUUACUCAGUGUCAGUGUAUUUGUCAUUUAAUAAAGGUGAAUUAGACCAGAGGAGCCAUUUUGUCGCCUCCUAACAUCACUGAAGCUGAGUUUACAGUCCGGUGGAGAAGCCGUGGGAGCAAGGAUUCACAGAGCACGUGAUACCAGUCCCCAUGCAGAAAAUCAAGGCAAAGGACACUCUGACAACUGCAACUUUAAAUAAAGUAAAAAACACAGAGAUUCUGCUAAAACAAAUUCAAGAAUACAGUCUUUGAUAACUAUGUGCUCUUGGAGAAAGCACCAAGAUCAAAUCAGUGAGAUAAAGGAUAUUGAAGCAUAGGAAAAAAAUACCAUAGCCAUAAAGCAAGCUCCCAGGCAGACUUGACCUUCACAGAUGUAUGCUGAACCUCCUGCUGGUUGCUGGACACAUUAGAAAUGACCCUCAGCUGAUUUCACA
RNAcentral lists this long non-coding RNA (628 nucleotides) under Anser brachyrhynchus (Pink-footed goose). Its description in RNAcentral is "lncRNA (ENSABRG00000000642.1)". Lineage: Eukaryota; Metazoa; Chordata; Aves; Anseriformes; Anatidae. The record is from RNAcentral.